This 465-nucleotide ribosomal RNA is filed under the name Vreelandella stevensii. RNAcentral's name for it is "partial 16S ribosomal RNA". It matches the Rfam family "Bacterial small subunit ribosomal RNA", at positions 338 to 795 of the family's 1533-position model. The record is from RNAcentral. Lineage: Bacteria; Pseudomonadati; Pseudomonadota; Gammaproteobacteria; Oceanospirillales; Halomonadaceae.
CCUACGGGAGGCAGCAGUGGGGAAUAUUGGACAAUGGGGGCAACCCUGAUCCAGCCAUGCCGCGUGUGUGAAGAAGGCCCUCGGGUUGUAAAGCACUUUCAGUGAGGAAGAACGCCUGGUGGUUAAGACCCAUCAGGAAAGACAUCACUCACAGAAGAAGCACCGGCUAACUCCGUGCCAGCAGCCGCGGUAAUACGGAGGGUGCGAGCGUUAAUCGGAAUUACUGGGCGUAAAGCGCGCGUAGGUGGCUUGAUAAGCCGGUUGUGAAAGCCCCGGGCUCAACCUGGGAACGGCAUCCGGAACUGUCAAGCUAGAGUGCAGGAGAGGAAGGUAGAAUUCCCGGUGUAGCGGUGAAAUGCGUAGAGAUCGGGAGGAAUACCAGUGGCGAAGGCGGCCUUCUGGACUGACACUGACACUGAGGUGCGAAAGCGUGGGUAGCAAACAGGAUUAGAUACCCCGGUAGUC